RNAcentral lists this long non-coding RNA (360 nucleotides) under Neogale vison (American mink). RNAcentral's name for it is "Neovison vison (American mink) lncRNA (ENSNVIG00000001158.1)". Lineage: Eukaryota; Metazoa; Chordata; Mammalia; Carnivora; Mustelidae. The record is from RNAcentral.
AGGAAGUCGGAUCCCCGGGUUCUGAGGUUUUUCAUUUAAAUUUGAAUGUGUACAACUAGGUUACAAGGACAGGGAUUUUGUUUUGUUCCGUAACGUAUUCCCAGGGUUGGAACAGAGCCGGACGUACACUAGGCACUCAACAAAUAUUUGUUGAAAGAUUUUAAUGAGUAACACCCACCCAUUUUUGCAGCUCUUGUUUCCUAGCGAGGGCAGAGUUCAUCACUGAGAAGGCGAAAUUCUGAAAAUGGGAGUCUACAGAUGUGGUUGCCAAAGAGAUCACAUUUUCUACUCCCUGGACAAAUCCAACCUCUCUGAAGGUACUCAGUGAACACAAUAAAUACCUGUUGAACCAAUAAUUCA